GCAGUGAUUAAUUAUCUAGCUUUUUACAGCCAGUUAAUACACUGCUGUUCAAUGUGUACUGUUGUAUAAAUGAACACACAGAGAUAGCUAAUAACAUCUGGAGAUUCUGACCAAGAUAAAGACCAAUGGAAAUGCAGGCUUCUGAAGCCGUUUUACACAUGUAGCCCCAAGAAAUAAUCCCAAUACUUUUUUUUAUUUUUUUUCUAUGAUCUUUGCAAAUUCUGUGAGCAAUUAAAUGGAAAAAUUCUCACGAACUGUAUAUAUAUAUUUUAAGAACAUUCCAGAUAUUCCCUUCAGUAACUAUACUGUGCCAAGGAAUAUUGCUCAUGAAUACAAAAAUUUGAAUGUAAACAGGAAGUGCUUUGUUCUAGAUGUUGGAGGCAAAAUGGAAUGGAGCUAAAUAAUUUUGUACCUUGAAAUUCAAAAAUGCUUUUUGAGAGAUAUCAGGUAAGAACAUUAAACUUUCUAAACUAUAAUAUAAUUUAAAUCUAUAUAUCAUAGAACUAAAAUAAAUAGACUGAAGCAGGAACUUUAUUCAUCUCAGUGGCUUAAACUUUCACCUGGUUACAGGUAUUUUUUAAGGUAUAUGUGAAUGAUACAUAAUUAUGCUUCUGUAGCAACAGUUUAUUUAAUGCAUAUAGUUCUUGCAGUUUUCUAUUAUUCAUUUCUUGUAAUUAAUCCUACAAUCACUUUGGCUUACAACGAAGUCUAAACAUUAAUGUUAUAAUUUUACUUUGCAGAUACAAGAGUGUACAUAUUUAGUUAUUAGAAGCAUUGUCUUCAACAUGUAUGAAUGAAAUGAUGUAAUCAGAUAUUUGAUGGCUUUAGUGACUAUGCAGCAUGCUACAGGAUGAAAUGAGAUCACAGACAGAGACCCCAUCAAACACUAAACUAAAUGGCUGGAAUGAGGUUCCUGGCCCUGGUGAUGGUUUUAGCAAAGCUAAUUAAGAGACAUUCUGGUGCCACCUAUAUUGAGCCAACAUAACUCCAAAAAUAAUUUUGUUGUAUUCAUAACUUUCUAUUAAAUAAUUUUUAUAUUUAA
Molecule: long non-coding RNA, 1042 nt
Organism: Mercenaria mercenaria
Lineage: Eukaryota; Metazoa; Mollusca; Bivalvia; Venerida; Veneridae
Exons: 2
Source: RefSeq, a predicted model, not a curated record